GACGAACGCUGGCGGCGUGCUUAACACAUGCAAGUCGAACGGAAAGGCCCUGCUUUUGUGGGGUGCUCGAGUGGCGAACGGGUGAGUAACACGUGAGUAACCUGCCCUUGACUUUGGGAUAACUUCAGGAAACUGGGGCUAAUACAGGAUAGGAGCUCCUGCUGCAGGGUGGGGGUUGGAAAGUUUCGGCGGUUGGGGAUGGACUCGCGGCUUAUCAGCUUGUUGGUGGGGGAGUGGCUGACCAAGGCUUUGACGGGUAGCCGGCCUGAGAGGGUGACCGGCCACCUUGGGCCUGCGGUACGCCCCAGACUCCUACGGGCGGCAGCGGUGGGGAAUCUUGCACAGUGGGCGGAAGCCUGUUGCGGCAACGCCGCGUGCGUGAUGACGGCCUUCGGGUUGUGAACCGCUUUCGCCUGUGACGAAGCGUGAGUGACGGUACUGGGUAAAGAAGCACCGGCUAACUACGUG
This 468-nucleotide ribosomal RNA is filed under the name uncultured bacterium. Its description in RNAcentral is "partial 16S ribosomal RNA". It matches the Rfam family "Bacterial small subunit ribosomal RNA", at positions 28 to 507 of the family's 1533-position model. The record is from RNAcentral.